ACACUGUUCCCCAAAUCCUAAAGCACCUUUGGAAAGUCAGAAAGCAACCUGGCUUCUCCUAAACCAGAGUAGCAGAAGCUGGGAGUUUUUGUUGCACUGGCUGCUCUAGCUUUUACAAAGUUGAUGAAGCAAGACACCUUCAGAGCCCUGGUCCAGCUAAUCAUUGAAGUUGGGCAACUGGAGGAUCUUAUGCGGAGCAGAGAUUGCCUUGGUAACUGUAUAUGCAGAUUAGAGGAUGCAGCUGUUUCUCCUCUGUCCUUUAAAGAUGAUGCUGUCUUGGUGCUAGGCUGGCUGAAAGAGAAUGGCGGAAGAUUCUUCUUCAGUUAGCCCUUUGGCUCUUCUGCGCAGAUCACUAUUGCUUAUGGGAGCUCCCAGGUUGAAUGCCAGCUGUAUGCAAUGAAGUUCUGCACUGUGAAGAAAAGCUCCACAGUGUGGAUCAGAGAGAUGGAAUAUCGCCUGAAGAGUCAUACUUACUUUUUAAAGACUAAGAUAUUGUUAUCUAUAGUAUCUAACAAUACCGCAGUUACUUAACAAGCCAGGCAGAUGCCCACCUAGGUAUUUACACAAGAUCAAUCAAACAGGAAGUUUGUAAAUUUGAAGGCGAGUGUGAAUUAAUGCCCUAGGAAUGUGAAAUAAUGCAGGAUGUUUGAAUUGCCCAAGUGCAAUGGACCAGUGGCAGCUUUUCCUGCCUCCCUAGAGUGAAGUGAAAAAUAUUGUCUCUAAUAACUUUAAGUUGGAAGGUGUUAAAAUUGGCAUUUUUAUUCUAAUAGGUCACCGUGGUUUUUUUUUUUAAGAUGUCUUUGGAUGUUAUAGCUCUAAACUGGCCUAAAAGUUGAACACUGAGUGCUGUGGUGCACGUAACAUGUUGUAUUUAUUUAUUCAUUCAUUCAUGCGCUUUGACCAGACAAACAAUAAAUUAAACUUUAAUAUCCCAGACACCUCAAACACAGCUUUAAGUUACUUUGCAAGUCUAACUACAAGCACCUGGAAUAAUGGCCAUCCUGACUGGGAGGAUUUCAGCCUAAGGCAUAUUUACAGAAGAUGGCAUACCCAGGGCAAUGAGUAAGCUGUAACUCUCCUCCAAAUGCAGAUCAGGACACACCAAAAUCUGGUUCACUUUUAUAGUACCAUUUGCACAUUAUAGCUUAGCUGAGCACUCAGACCUGUCUGUUUGAUGUGGUAUAUGCCUGCAAGUCUUGGCUCACGUUACAGAGUUGUACGAGUAGCUUUUCUGUAUGGCCCUUUAAGGAAGGAACAGCACCAGUUGCUCUGGAUAUAUCUUUGAGUUCUAAAUCUUCUAAAACUGCUUGGAGAAUGCAUCCUGUGUAAUGCAGUGGUUUUGCUCUCAUUUGCUUCAUUUUGGGUAAUAGGCUUUUGAAAACCUUCUGUCCCUCUGAUUACUGGAGCACUGAACAAAAAAAGAGAGCACAUUCUGGGCAUCCUCAGUGCUGUAAUUUGACUCAGCAACAUAGGAGCAGUUGCCAAAAUAACAUUCAAUUCAUUGACACUGGCAGACCUAUCUCCUCUGAUGCUAAAAGCCCAAUAGUCCUUCAAACAGCUGAUAUACUCGAUAAACUCGGUGCUUCAGUGUUCUGCUUUUCAGGUGGCAGGGAGUCUGUUAUGGGAAGGAUAUUGUCCUUGGUGGUGCUGGUCUACAAACUGUUUCCUAUGUUUGGCCAGCAAUCUGGAGAAGUGAAAUAAAACUGUCAUGGUAUGCCAUUGAGCACUGAAACACUAUGCAAACAUCCAAUUUAAUCAGUUCUACUGGGACUCCAGUGUAGCAAUUUUAGCAGUCCAUACUUUUGAACCUGCUGGGCAUUUUAUGGGGAAAUCAGCAUCAAUGUUUGCGUAAUGCUACUUCUCAUUCCCACUCUUAAUGGCAGUGACUGUAGCACUGUAGAUUGAAGAAAUGUAUUUGUAUUCCCAGCAGCAUACUGCGCAAAACAAUCUGAUUAUAGAUUCUAGUGUGAAUCUCCUGACCCGCUAAUCCAAAUCCAUCUUUUUUUG
This is a long non-coding RNA of Mauremys mutica (yellowpond turtle), 2007 nucleotides long. RefSeq lists it as uncharacterized. The record is from RefSeq and is a predicted model, not a curated record. The transcript has 4 exons. NCBI's taxonomy places the organism in Eukaryota, Metazoa, Chordata, Testudines, Geoemydidae.